This 254-nucleotide ribosomal RNA is filed under the name uncultured bacterium. Its description in RNAcentral is "partial 16S ribosomal RNA". It matches the Rfam family "Bacterial small subunit ribosomal RNA", at positions 524 to 776 of the family's 1533-position model. The record is from RNAcentral.
UACGGAGGGAGCUAGCGUUGUUCGGAAUUACUGGGCGUAAAGCGUGCGCAGGCGGUUGUGCAAGACCGAUGUGAAAUCCCCGGGCUUAACCUGGGAAUGGCAUUGGUGACUGCACGGCUAGAGUGUGUCAGAGGGGGGUAGAAUUCCACGUGUAGCAGUGAAAUGCGUAGAGAUGUGGAGGAAUACCGAUGGCGAAGGCAGCCCCCUGGGAUAACACUGACGCCUCAUGCACGAAAGCGUGGGGAGCAAACAGG